CCGGAGUUGGCCGAGUGGUCAAUGGCAACAGACUGUAAAUCUGUCGGGCUUUGCCCUACCCAAGUUCAAAUCUUGGACUCCGGACCA
Molecule: transfer RNA, 87 nt
Filed under: Candidatus Altimarinota bacterium
Lineage: Bacteria; Candidatus Altimarinota
Also listed under: 1 other name
Description: tRNA-Tyr
Rfam family: tRNA
About the family: Transfer RNA (tRNA) molecules are approximately 80 nucleotides in length.
Source: RNAcentral